AAAGAGAGAGACAGAGAGAGAGAAGGAAAUUACUAAAUGGAGGGAAGCUUUCCGAAUAAAAAUUAUUCAUAUCAGAUGUACACAUGAAAUCAUCGUGCUUCCCUAAAAUUUAUCUUCAUGCAGUUCAUGUUUUUGUUAUAAAUCCGUACGUCAGUCGCCUGAAUUCCAGGAUGGAGUAUCAGAAAAUAACUUUUUGACAUGGGCAACCAACUAAUUAACAAACUAGUCUUUGUAAAUGAUAAUACAUAUGUUACACAGUGACUUGAUUCUUAGCAGUUAAGAAUGCUUAACGAUAAAUAAUUUAUUUUAGGCUUGUGGAUGAUAGCUGGAGAAGUUGUCUUUAAUUAUCAAAGACUUAUCUACUAGGGAAAUAAUAAAAUAAUAAAAAAGGAAAUGCAACUUGUGAAAUUGCACAUGAAGCAGCAACUCUUGGACCCAUUAUUGCAGACUUUUGCAUGCUAUAUAUAUAUAUAUAGGAGAUCAUUUCUCCAAUUUGUGGAACCCAGUUCUUGAUAGUGUAGUGUAGCCCAAUCUUGAGAGAGAAAAAUUAGAGAGAAUUUUUGUUGUGAGAUUUUGGGUGUAAUUGAGUUUAAAGGUUUGAGUAAUCUGUUAGAGAAAAAAAUAUUUAGUAUUUGUAAUUAUUUUUCUCAUAAUAGAAUAUUUAUUUAUGAAAUAGGCUUACAU
RNAcentral lists this unclassified non-coding RNA (684 nucleotides) under Hevea brasiliensis (rubber tree). Lineage: Eukaryota; Viridiplantae; Streptophyta; Magnoliopsida; Malpighiales; Euphorbiaceae. The record is from RNAcentral.